AACGGGGUUGCUCUGGUGAAGGAUUCGAAGCACAUUUCCUGGAAGAUGUUCAGAGCUACAGCUCUGACCUGACGAGUACCUGGAGGAAACCCCCGAAGCACAAGGAGAACAUGCAAACUCCACCACGCACGCAGACGGGAUUCAAACCCACAUCCCCCCGGGGGCGUGAGGCAGAUGUGCUCACCACUGAGCCACACAGCUGUCGGAUGUAUUCCCGCUUCGUGUUCCUGGCAUAGACUCCGGAUCCACCGCCACCCUGAGCAGGAUAUGGAGUACUGCAACGUUUCAGACUCGCCUCCUGUGUCCAAAUAUACACAUCGGGAAGCUUCUGCAUCAACUACAAAACGAAAAUUCAGAAUUUAUUAUAAACGAUAAGUGAAAAGACGUCAGGAACUAAAAUCAGUCCCGGUUCCUGAAUCCAUGAGGAAAAAAAAACAAAA
Long non-coding RNA from Ictalurus punctatus (channel catfish), 440 nucleotides. The record is from Ensembl. Lineage: Eukaryota; Metazoa; Chordata; Actinopteri; Siluriformes; Ictaluridae.